This 897-nucleotide long non-coding RNA is filed under the name Rattus norvegicus (Norway rat). RNAcentral's name for it is "long non-coding RNA NONRATT000505". Lineage: Eukaryota; Metazoa; Chordata; Mammalia; Rodentia; Muridae. The record is from RNAcentral.
CCAAAACUAGCUUAGUUACGGCUGCUGAGAUGACGCCUACAAAAUUUCCCUUCUAAUGUAGCCUCAGCCCCAUAGCACAGCCUUCUUCAUUUGAUUUAGCUCAGUUUCUCUUUCCACUGUUUCAAAUACUAACCCAGGUUCUCCCAGACCAACUGGUCAGGCACCAUAUUCUGCAAUCAGUUCUAGUUUUAAUUAUUUUUUUCUACAGGUCUUAAUGUGCAGGCCUGAAUAUCUCUCAUCCAGUUCUUUUAAAAACUGAAAAUCUCCAUCCUUGAGAGAUUUAGGAGGAUCCUCUUUCUCAUUCUUCCUGAAGACCCCAAAUGACUUCUCAAUGCUCUUUCCCCCUAAAACCCAUAAUCCCCCCAAUAAUUCAUGAGACCCAAGACACCAACAUUCCACCUCCUUUACCCCCAAAUCCCCCGGACUUAGCUUUACCAUCUCCUCCUUGUAGUCUCCAGGCUUCUGUUUCACCCCCACCUCCGCCCCCGCCCCCUCCACCACCCCCUCUCCCACCCCCUCCACCCUCUGCUGUGGAGGUUGCUCUCCCUCAUGUCUACGGCCUGAAGAACAGCCGGCUCCUGAAGGAGGCCUUGGAGAAGGCUGGCCCAGCUCCAAAAGGCAAAGUUGAUGUAAAGAGACUCCUGAAGCUGCACAAGGACAGGUAGGGUCACCACCCCCCUGCCAGCCCAGAUCUCAGACAGCCACCUGUUUACAAAUCACCAUAGCCACGCUGUUCUUUGCUUGCCCAUUUCCUCCAUCUCAAACAGCCAGAUAGGCCCCUGCUUAGCUCUUCAGUGGUUGGCCUCCAGCGAGAGAGAACAGCUUCUGCUCAUGCCUGGUUCUGAGCAGAAGCCAGUGACUGACUCCCAGAGUAGCCAGAGUUAUAAUGGGGCCCGA